CAUAAUUUCAGCUUUUGACUUGCUUCUAUUUCAUACCAGAUUCUAGAAGUCUCACAGUUUCUUUUGGUUUUUCCUUCGUUGUGUUUGCUUUUAACAGAUGGCCCAUACCUUCAAAUAUUAGAGCAACCAAAACAGAGGGGAUUUCGAUUCCGCUAUGUCUGUGAAGGCCCAUCACAUGGCGGACUCCCUGGUGCCUCUAGUGAGAAGAACAAGAAAUCCUACCCUCAGGUCAAAAUUUGCAACUAUGUGGGACCUGCAAAGGUUAUUGUUCAAUUGGUCACCAAUGGAAAAAACAUCCACCUGCAUGCCCACAGCCUGGUGGGAAAACACUGUGAGGACGGGAUCUGCACUGUAGUAGCUGGACCCAAGGACAUGGUAGUUGGGUAAGUGGGGGAGUACGGUGCUGAGGGAGACGGGACAGGAGAAUGGGGAGCGCAUGAAUGUGAAAUCCAUAAGCUCUUUUCAUUACUGACCUGUGCAAGGCCUGAGAAGGCCUCAGAGCACACAUACAUACAAAGCCAGGAGAACAUUUGUGAAAAAGGAAAAAGAGGUGACCAGAUAUGUGCACUGCCUGAGGCAAUCCUUGCCUCAGGUGGGUUGGUUCAGUUUGGAUGGUGUUAUAUUUGUAGGCACUUGACCUCAGAGCCAUUUUCAAUAUAUCUUUGUGUCACUUUCAAUAAUACUUUUUCUUCUCCUGGCAAUAAAAAUAAAGACAAAUGAAACAAAACAAAAACAAAAAUCCACCAUCUUUUAACUAUACAGAAAUGGUUAUCUUUUUGUUUCUCUGGAACAGGAUCUCCACUUAAAGUCUGAGCUUACCUUGAACUUAAGACUAUCCUUCUGCCUUCUCUGCCUCCCAGAUGUUUAGGUGCUGGGCUUAGAGACAUGCACAUCACAGCCAGCUCUGAUUUCUAUCUAUUUUUGUUCCCUUAAUAAAUUCCUAAUGGGAACAUUUGAGACAUAAAGCAGAUAAAUAAAUAUUGUUUUAGUUCUGUGCUGCUUAAGAAGUAUGUAGAUCGAAUAACCAAGAAAUGCAAGUUGGUAUGAGCAUUCAUUAGAUCUGGAAUGUAAAUAGAAAUUAGUCUAUU
Cricetulus griseus (Chinese hamster) is the source of this 1088-nucleotide non-coding RNA. The record is from RefSeq and is a predicted model, not a curated record. Lineage: Eukaryota; Metazoa; Chordata; Mammalia; Rodentia; Cricetidae.